Long non-coding RNA from Bos taurus (domestic cattle), 577 nucleotides. The record is from Ensembl. NCBI's taxonomy places the organism in Eukaryota, Metazoa, Chordata, Mammalia, Artiodactyla, Bovidae.
GUAAUACAUGGUAUCAAGCAUCUAAUAUAAAAUCAGGCCUGGGGUGACUUGCCGUUGAAUCAAAUCACUCUUUGACCAGAGAGUAGGCCCUCUGUAGGGGAGUUCACAGUAGCAGAGUCAGCAAAAACUUCAAGAGAAACAUACAAGAAAACAACUCUUGUUUCUUCUACUCUUCUCACAGCUUUACUUCUGACACCAGACGUGUGUGGGGUUUUUUUCCACACCAACCAUUUCUCUUAACUGUCCAGACACCAACUGGGUGUCCUGCAGUUCGGUUCGGACACUAACUACCUGGAGUUAAUGCAGACCUCAAAGAUUCAGGGCUUAUUCCCACAAGGUUGUCCGUUUCAGAUGCCAGUCACACGUCUCAGGAUACCAUCUUUACUUCUGAAUAACUAGCUACCAAUCAGGGGUUCCCAUAACCCACCUCUUCCUCAGUAACAGCCAGAUGAAGAGGUACAUAAAUGGAAGUCUGGAAAGAAGGGAGCUGAAUGGAGCAAUUUCUGUCCCUGUGAAGUUGGGGAGCACCACUCUACCAGCACAUGGAUGUGUUCAACUGGAAUUUCUCUGAUCCUCU